RNAcentral lists this ribosomal RNA (1271 nucleotides) under uncultured bacterium. RNAcentral describes it as "bacterial SSU rRNA". It matches the Rfam family "Bacterial small subunit ribosomal RNA", at positions 59 to 1342 of the family's 1533-position model. The record is from RNAcentral.
CAGUCGAACGGUGAAAGGGACUUCGGUCCCUGGAUCAGUGGCGAACGGGUGAGUAACACGUGGGCAACCUGCCCCUAGCUCCGGAAUAACCCCGGGAAACCGAGGCUAAUACCGGAUACGACCCUGCGCGGCAUCUCGCGGGGUGGAAAGUUUUUCGGCUAGGGAUGGGCCCGCGGCCUAUCAGCUUGUUGGUGGGGUAAUGGCCUACCAAGGCGACAACGGGUAGCCGGCCUGAGAGGGUGACCGGCCACACUGGGACUGAGACACGGCCCAGACUCCUACGGGAGGCAGCAGUGGGGAAUAUUGCGCAAUGGGCGAAAGCCUGACGCAGCGACGCCGCGUGAGAGAUGACGGCCUUCGGGUUGUAAACCUCUUUCGGUAGGGAUGAAGCCUUUCGGGUGACAGUACCUGCAGAAGAAGCACCGGCUAACUACGUGCCAGCAGCCGCGGUAACACGUAGGGUGCGAGCGUUGUCCGGAAUUAUUGGGCGUAAAGAGCUCGUAGGCGGUCCGUCACGUCGGAUGUGAAAUUCCAGGGCUCAACCCUGGACCUGCAUUCGAUACGGGCGGACUAGAGUUCGGUAGGGGAGACUGGAAUUCCUGGUGUAGCGGUGAGAUGCGCAGAUAUCAGGAGGAACACCGGUGGCGAAGGCGGGUCUCUGGGCCGAUACUGACGCUGAGGAGCGAAAGCGUGGGGAGCGAACAGGAUUAGAUACCCUGGUAGUCCACGCCGUAAACGUUGGGCGCUAGGUGUGGGGGACCUUCCACGUCCUCUGUGCCGCAGCUAACGCAUUAAGCGCCCCGCCUGGGGAGUACGGCCGCAAGGCUAAAACUCAAAGGAAUUGACGGGGGCCCGCACAAGCGGCGGAGCAUGUGGCUUAAUUCGAUGCGACGCGAAGAACCUUACCAAGGCUUGACAUUCAGGGAAAUCUCACAGAGAUGUGAGGUCCGCAAGGGUCCUGAACAGGUGGUGCAUGGUUGUCGUCAGCUCGUGUCGUGAGAUGUUGGGUUAAGUCCCGCAACGAGCGCAACCCUCGUCCUAUGUUGCCAGCGGGUUAUGCCGGGGACUCAUAGGAGACUGCCGGGGUCAACUCGGAGGAAGGUGGGGAUGACGUCAAAUCAUCAUGCCCCUUAUGUCUUGGGCUGCACACAUGCUACAAUGGCCGGUACAAAGGGCUGCGAUACCGCAAGGUGGAGCGAAUCCCAAAAAGCCGGUCUCAGUUCGGAUCGGGGUCUGCAACUCGACCCCGUGAAGUCGGAGUCGCUAGUAAU